AGAGUUUGAUCCUGGCUCAGAAUCAACGCUGGCGGCGUGCCUAACACAUGCAAGUCGAACGCGAAAGCCCUUUCGGGGGUAAGUAGAGUGGCGUCCGGGUGAGUAACACGUGGGUAAUCUGCCUUCGGGUGGGGAAUAACCCAGGGAAACUUGGGCUAAUACCGCAUAAUGCAGCGGCACCUAAUGGUGAUUAGUUGUUAAAGCGGGGGAUCGCAAGACCUCGCGCCUGAAGAGGAGCCUGCGGCAGAUUAGCUAGUUGGUGAGGUAAUGGCUCACCAAGGCUUCGAUCUGUAGCUGGUCUGAGAGGACGGCCAGCCACACUGGCACUGACACACGGGCCAGACUCCUACGGGAGGCAGCAGUGGGGAAUUUUGGGCAAUGGGCGAAAGCCUGACCCAGCAACGCCGCGUGAGGGAGGAAAUCCUUCGGGAUGUAAACCUCACAAGCAAGGGAAGAGAGUCAUGGGCUGAAUAAUCCCAUGGUGCGACGGUACCUUGCGUAAGCCACGGCUAACUACGUGCCAGCAGCCGCGGUAAUACGUAGGUGGCAAGCGUUGUUCGGAAUUAUUGGGCGU
This 574-nucleotide ribosomal RNA is filed under the name uncultured bacterium. Its description in RNAcentral is "bacterial SSU rRNA". It matches the Rfam family "Bacterial small subunit ribosomal RNA", at positions 8 to 561 of the family's 1533-position model. The record is from RNAcentral.